This 103-nucleotide microRNA precursor is filed under the name Marmota monax (woodchuck). The record is from RNAcentral. Lineage: Eukaryota; Metazoa; Chordata; Mammalia; Rodentia; Sciuridae.
AGAGGAAUAGCUGGGUCAAAUGGUGGUUCCAUUCCCAGAUUUCCAAGGAAUCUCCAUACUGCUUUCCAUAUUGGCUGCACCAAUUUGCAGUCCCACUAGCAGU